This is a non-coding RNA of Phoenix dactylifera (date palm), 750 nucleotides long. NCBI's taxonomy places the organism in Eukaryota, Viridiplantae, Streptophyta, Magnoliopsida, Arecales, Arecaceae. The record is from RefSeq and is a predicted model, not a curated record.
UCCAACAAAUGUUCUUGUGCCGACUGGAGAGACAUGCCAAUAUCAACAAAUCGGCAGGUCUGCUAAACUAUAAAGAAGGGCAAUUAGUGAUCAAGUAUCUCAGGUUGCCCCUACCAAAUAGAAGCCCUAGAAGGGAGGACUAGCCUCCAUUUGUGGACAAAGUAGACACGCGGCCGGCUAGAUGGAAGGGAAGGUGGUUAUCUGCAACUGCAAGAGGUGUAAAGAAGAAACCGUGAAGCAUCUCUCCUUACAGUACUGGCUUCAGUGCAUCGCCAUGCACGGGAGAUCCUUCCUGCAGCUGAGAGUGAUUAACACCUGACAUGGCCGUCGAUAGUUAUGGUUUAACUCCAUUUCUUUCUCCCCUUCAUAUUAGUUAAGAAAAUGAAACAUGAAACGAAAUCAAGCAGAACUUGGGUGUGGGAGACAAAGAAGAAAGCUGAAGCCCACCGCCCUAACGAUCACCAUUCGCCAUCGACAGCAUGCCAGUGAUCAAUCCGACACCAUUAAAUAUGAUAUAUGGGACUAAAGACCCAACAUGCUCAAAGAUCCGGAUACCAUCUUUACCUCGUUGUUUUCAUUCUCUUCUGAAUCUAUAUAUCACAUAAGCAGAAGUUAUCAUUUCGACUUCUUGCUAAGCCUUGUUUUCAGUCUAUUUCUUUUGGCCACUUCUGCUGAUAUUUCCAUGUUCUAGGUUUUGGAUUAUUCUAUCAGUAUUUCUUGAAUGUGGAUUUGUUAUGCUGCUACUUUUUA